Long non-coding RNA from Zingiber officinale, 4818 nucleotides. RefSeq lists it as uncharacterized. The transcript has 3 exons. The record is from RefSeq and is a predicted model, not a curated record. Lineage: Eukaryota; Viridiplantae; Streptophyta; Magnoliopsida; Zingiberales; Zingiberaceae.
AUUAAUUAAAUAAAAUAAUUAAUUAUUGAAAAAGAAAAAACUCGCGUUCACGAGAUCGCCUGCGAUCAUCACCCACGAUCCUCGUGGGGGGCGUCCGGCGGCGCCGGACGCGUAUGACGGCACCGGAAGGGUCGCCGGAAGCAUCCGGCGACGCAGCAGGGUCGCCGGAUGCUUUCAGCGAUGCCUUCAGCGUCGCAAAAGGCGUCGCGGGACGCCGUCGGAGGCAUCCCGCGUCUACUCCGGCGCCGUCGAGACGGGGACGCCUCCUGUACCAGUUUCGGCCGUCCGGUGGAAUGGUAAAAACCGUUCGUGUCGGGCAACACGAAACGACAUUUCAACCCAUAAUUUAGAAAGCAGGCCGUUCCAUCUCCAGUAUAUAAUGACAACUGAUCAAAUGGAAUGCCUCAUAGCUUCAACGUAAAUGACAUCAAAAGGCAUAUAAACAUGACCUGAAAAGCAGAUCCAAAAGAAUUUACAGCAACAAGGUCAACAGAACCUCCCUUCAAUUUCUUAGCAGCAUCCAGGAAUAUAAUCUCCUUCAAAAAAAUGUCCACAGCUUGAAAUAGAAAUGAAAAUAUCAUAAGAAGUGACUAAAAUAUUGCAGCAUUUUGUAGUGAUGUACCAGCACCAGAUCCACUUGCCACAAUUAUCACCACUCUGAUGGUCACAAGAAAGCACCCUAAUAUUUGGUUUAGACGGAUACUAGAUCUUAUCCUAUUGGCUGUUGGGACACUAAAGGUUUCUAAACAGAUGUUGACAGAUUGGUUUGCCCGGGACGAUGGAGUGGCUCAGGCUUAUGACUUUUUCAGACAACCUAGUCCUAAAAAGCCAUGGGUCCGGAUAGUGUAGAAGGCAUAUAUUCAGUCGAGUCAUGCAAUUACAUUCUAGCGCAACAAUGUCUCCCCUCUAGAGAUAGAUAGGAGUAUUUGCAAGAUCAUCAAUGCACCUUCUGCUAUUAGGUGCUAGAGUCAUAGGAGUAUCUUUUUUUUUUGGGUACCCCCUAUUACGAAGUUAUGGGGAAGGAUCAGAGACUGACUUCAUAAGCAACAAGAGAUGUUUCGGGCAAUACUAUUGAGCGAGUAAGGUGUUAACAAAGGUCUCUCACCUGGUCUUUUCUUCCAUGAUUUACUAUGUUUGGCGAGAGAGGAAUAAUAGUUUCUUUGGAGAGAGAUAGUUAGAUAUUGAGAAGAUCUUCAAGAUUGUGCAAACUCAUGUAUACCGAUCAUUGAGAGAAUACUUUGAUUUGACAUGGUGUCAGACAUAAGUAGCUCCUUAGGCUGUGGAAUGACAGAUGAUGGUGAUUGGGCUUGCCUAAUCCUAGUUCUACCCCCUUUUUUUGGAUUUAAUAUAUUUUUAUUUAUCCAAAAAUCAAGAGCAGAGGUAGAAUAUAGACAAAACCUUAGCAACAUGUGAACCCAUCUGGGUUAAGCAUCUGAUAACUGAGCCAAGAUACGUCCCUGCAAAGCCAAUGAAGUUUUAAAAUCCAGUUGCAAUAGAUAUAGCCUCCUGUUCCAUGUACACAAUAGAACAAAGCAUAUACAAAUUUAUUAUCACAUUAUUAUAGAAAAAGUGCAAUCUAAUAAAUCAUUACAUUUUUUGUUAGUUUUAAUGAUUAGUUGACAUACCAAAUUGUUAAGAGAGUCUAUAGUUGAAUAUAUUUGUACCAUGUUGGGUUUCUAUAGUAUAUUCGAACCAACAAAAAUGGAAUGUUAUAAAGUUGUGCAAAUAUACAAGGAAUAAGGGGCUAUAGAGUUGUGUAAAUAUAAUGAGUAAGGUGGCUAUUUGUAAUACUCUCUUUCUUUCUAUACUAGGGAUAAAUUUAGGAUUCCAUUUGAAAGUUGAUUUUUAAAUAUUUGCAAUUUUCUCUAAUUUUAAGAGUUAUUUUAAAUUUUGAAGAAGUUUAAAUUAGUAAAAAGUUUAUUAUAUAUUAUUUAGGGAUAAGCUAGAUCAGUAUUUUACAAUCAAUUUGUCUUAUUGAUGAUUUAUAAAUAGGGUUUGGAUUCCUUGUAUUCAUCAUCUCUCUCUCUCUCUCUCUCUCUCUCUCUCUCACACACACACACACACACACACACACACAAGAGGUUGAGUUUUCUAUGAUAUGAUUUUCUGUAUAUCUUUUUUUCGUUGAUGAGUCGAGAGUUUGAGUUUUCUAUGAUAUGAUUUUCCAUGUUGCAACAAUUGGUAUCGGACUCUGAAUUCCUAAUUCGGUCUGAUCAAGAUCUCGUGGUUCUUCAAUAUCCAUUCCUUCUUGCACAACUGCCAUCCUGAGUGACUCCUUCUCUUCCCUUUUUGUUUAUCUAAUCCUUUGGCUAUCUCAUGGGUAUCUCCUUGGAUACAAAUCCUCUUUCCCAAAUUGGAACACAACUCUAAUCAUUUUCCUCCCUCCGAGACAACCUCACUCGCAAACCACACUCUCAUAUUUCCAUGGUCUUGCAUUGUCUGCACCACCACCACCUGCACCCACCUGUCCUCUGCAGUGCACAACUCAUUGAGGAUUUACUCACAUCUUACACACCACCUUCUGGCGUCGUUGCAGUCACCACCACAAAACCCGUCUCUUCGGCACAACUGCUUGAAGAGAAGCACCAUCCAUGAAGCACUUAUUAGCCACCUCCACAUUUUCACACCCCCGAGAUCUGCUCAUGAAACUGUCCACUUCUUAUCUGACCAACAUACUCUAGCCAGCAGCGUAUUUCCAUCUUCUCCUUGCUGGCAGCAUUGACCAGCACAUCGUGCAGCUACCCUCCUUGCAGGCAAAGGUUGUCACAUCGUGCACUGUUGCAUCACCUGCCUAUCUAUUGCCAGCCUUCACUGCUGCCUGCAACCUCCAAACCCACCUCCAGCAACCACCUGCAAUUCUGCCCUCUCACCAUCAACCCAAGCACCCUAUUGUUGAGCACAUGUGAGUCACCCCUUCCACUGCUCGUUGCUAUUGGAAGGAUCAGAUUGAGCUGUCGCUGCUGUAGCUGCUGUUGCUACUGCUUCUUCUGAUGGUGAAACAUAAAUAUUACCUAACAACUUCUUUCUUGAGAUUAUUGCAACUAGUGACGUCGGUGGUUGCAUCUACUAUUUACCUUUAGAUGAAUGAUGGAUGCUUAUACUACUCCAUUAUGUGCCACAAAUUUACAAAACUUAUACUAAUGGAUUGAUUGUUCCACAUGCAAGUUGUGUAGCAAACAAACUAUUAAAGUUAGUUGAUGAACCACUAUUCUCAAAGCUCAAGUUGCUAGAGUUUGACCAAUUUAUAUAUUUAUUUUAAUUAGUUUUACCUCAAUAGAUAAUGGCCUCUCUAAUUUCAUUUUCAACUUCCAAUCUUCUAUUAAUUAUUUUAUAUGUGGAAGCAUAAACUUCUAUCAGGUUCUUUCUUCCUUUCAAUGUUUGCGUCUACUAUUCGCCUUUCAAUGAUUGAUGCUUAUAGCACUCCGUUAAGCCUCAGAUUUAUAAAACUUAUGCUAAUAGAUUCAUUGUUUCACAUGCAAGUUGUGUGAUAAACUAGUUGAAAUUGGUGGGCUAAUCACUAUUCUCAAACUCUUGAGCUAUUAAAAAUGGGACCAAUUUAUAUAUUUAUUGUGCUAACACUUUCCCUUCAUUUGCAGGGGAGAUACUUAAAGGAACUAAUUUAUAUUGUUAACUCUAAUAAUUCUAUUAGCUAGUUAUUGCCUAGGCAUUCUUCUUACUGCUACCAGUUAUGUACAUUAGGCUUGAUCGAUGAUUGGCAUUCCAAUCUGCAAUUUACUAUGGAUGCCUUCCAUGGCAAUGUGCUGACUGGUAGCAGUAUUGACUAAGAUUGUUUAGAGAAAAUUACAGUAAAAUCAUGUUGAUCUUACAGUUUAACAGUUUUGCCGUAAUUCUAAAUGUACUACUAAAGCAAUCCAUUGGUCUGUUGAUUAACUGAAAAGAGAAUUUUUUUGGAACUUCUUAUGAUGGGUUGGAAGGGGAGCCUUACCGCAACGGUAAAGUUGUUGUCAUGUGAUUAAAAAGGUGACGGGUUCGAAUCCUACAAACAACCUCUUGCAAAAAAGCAGGGUAAGGCUGCGUACAAUGAUUCCUUCCCCGGGACCUCGCAGGCGGGAGCUUCGUGCACCAGGCUGCUCUUUUUUUUUCUUCUUAUGAUGGGUUGAUUUAUUAAUUUUAAAUUUAUAUUCUUAUCAGGUACCAAGUGUUGGCGGGUGUCAUAGAACAGCGUAUUUUGGAGCCAUUGCUACACAACAACAAACUGGCACUCAGUGCCUUGUGCUUUGCAGUUCGCACAGGAAAUACAUUCUUGGGAUCACUUCUGUGGGUUGAUUAUGCUCGCUGGGUGGGCGUUCAAAAGAGUCAUGAAUAGCACACUCGUACCGACAUUCCAAUUUGCAUCGCCAGCUGAAAUCUGUGUAGGGAAAGGUUGAUUUGAAUAUUCUUAUCAAAACUCUAUACGAUAUAUACAAACGUAGUUCGUACAGCAAUAAUUCAGCAUGGUACGAGUCUACUUUGGAACAAGGGCAUUACCUGUGUUAAAAUCAAACGCUUUGUCACAUAAAAACUCUUAUUCAAAUGUAGGAUGGUUAUAAAGGUAUAAUAGAGAGUGGUAUCACGGGUCUGCUUUGACAUGUACAUUUUGUUGGAGCUGCUAAAGGUGGUGUAAUUGAAGGUGUAAUUGAAGGUGUAAUUGAAGCGCAGAUAGAAUGAUGGUAUAGCAUUGUUUAGGCAGAGUGACUAUCUUUUUGAAAUAAAAUUUUCUUGUACAACAAUCAUCUUGUAAGAUACAAUUUUAUCUUGUGAUAGUAGUUGUAAAUCACAAGAAUUUUGAAUCGAAAAUGCUUCUCGAACUUUCUAGAA